GACGAACGCUGGCGGCGCGCCUAACACAUGCAAGUCGGACGAGCGAGAGGAGGUUUACUUUCUCAAGCGAGUGGCGAACGGGUGAGUAACGCGUGAGGAACCUGCCUCAAAGAGGGGGACAACAGUUGGAAACGACUGCUAAUACCGCAUAAGCCCACGACCCGGCAUCGGGUAGAGGGAAAAGGAGCAAUCCGCUUUGAGAUGGCCUCGCGUCCGAUUAGCUAGUUGGUGAGGUAAUGGCCCACCAAGGCGACGAUCGGUAGCCGGACUGAGAGGUUGAACGGCCACAUUGGGACUGAGACACGGCCCAGACUCCUACGGGAGGCAGCAGUGGGGAAUAUUGCACAAUGGGGGAAACCCUGAUGCAGCGACGCCGCGUGGAGGAAGAAGGUCUUCGGAUUGUAAACUCCUGUUGUUGAGGAAGAUAAUGACGGUACUCAACAAGGAAGUGACGGCUAACUACGUG
Molecule: ribosomal RNA, 466 nt
Filed under: uncultured bacterium
Lineage: Bacteria
Description: partial 16S ribosomal RNA
Rfam family: Bacterial small subunit ribosomal RNA
Source: RNAcentral